RNAcentral lists this ribosomal RNA (326 nucleotides) under uncultured eukaryote. Its description in RNAcentral is "partial 18S ribosomal RNA". It matches the Rfam family "Eukaryotic small subunit ribosomal RNA", at positions 1470 to 1796 of the family's 1831-position model. The record is from RNAcentral.
CCCUUAGAUGUCCUGGGCCGCACGCGCGCUACACUGAACGGAUCAGCGCGUUUUCCCUUCCCGAGAGGGACGGGUAACCUGCUGAACCCCGUUCGUGGUAGGGAUCGGGGCUUGCAAUUAUUCCCCGUGAACCAGGAAUGCCCAGUAAGUGCAAGUCAUAAGCUUGCGUUGAUUACGUCCCUGCCCUUUGUACACACCGCCCGUCGCUACUACCGAUUGAACAUUUUAGUGAGGUACUCGGACUGAGCCUCAGAAGAUUCACGUCUUUUGUGCUGCUCGGGAAGAUUCCCAAACUUGAGCGUUUAGAGGAAGUAAAAGUCGUAACA